UUCCUAUCCGAUUAUUCAAAAUGAACCAAACAACCACCUGGCAUCGUUUUAGCUGACAGCACAGAGAGGACAUCCUGAGUUUUUAAUGCUGUUAG
Long non-coding RNA from Etheostoma cragini (Arkansas darter), 95 nucleotides. RefSeq lists it as uncharacterized. The transcript is spliced from 4 exons. The record is from RefSeq and is a predicted model, not a curated record. NCBI's taxonomy places the organism in Eukaryota, Metazoa, Chordata, Actinopteri, Perciformes, Percidae.